Molecule: ribosomal RNA, 253 nt
Filed under: uncultured bacterium
Lineage: Bacteria
Description: partial 16S ribosomal RNA
Rfam family: Bacterial small subunit ribosomal RNA
Source: RNAcentral
UACAGAGGUCUCAAGCGUUGUUCGGAUUCAUUGGGCGUAAAGGGUGUGUAGGUGGCGCCGUAAGUCGGGUGUGAAAUUUCGGAGCUUAACUCCGAAACUGCAUUCGAUACUGCGGUGCUUGAGGACUGGAGAGGAGACUGGAAUUCCUAGUGUAGAGGUGAAAUUCGUAGAUAUUAGGAAGAACACCAGUGGCGAAGGCGGCUCACUGGUCCGGUACUGACGCUGAGGUGCGAAAGCGUGGGGAGCAAACAGG